RNAcentral lists this ribosomal RNA (1647 nucleotides) under Triticum aestivum (bread wheat). RNAcentral's name for it is "partial small subunit ribosomal RNA". Lineage: Eukaryota; Viridiplantae; Streptophyta; Magnoliopsida; Poales; Poaceae. The record is from RNAcentral.
AUGGCCACGGCGACACCACAGCAAUGCUGCCUUCCGGCCCGCGCGCGCCCUCCUCCCACCUCCACUCCCCUACGCCUACGCUACCUCACCAGAGCAGCCUCCUCCUUCCACUUCCCGGGCCGCCGCACUGUAACGGCAAGAAGGAGUGGAAGAGCCGCCUUAGCCUUCUCCCCCAGAUGCACGUUGGAGACGGGUGGCCCGGCCUUUGAUCCUCUAGGGCUCUACAGGGAGGACCCGUCCAGUUCUGAUUAUCAGUCUCCCUUCUCGACAUUUUUCGGCGUCCUGUCUCCAGUGUUCGGGAGCUCCAGUGGAUCCAGGAAAGAGAAGUCAUCCUAUGGCCGAGGAGCAGCAGCUGCAAUGGAGGACAGUACUAUUGACUUUGGUGACUUCUUCAAGGGUCCUCUACCCGGGAAGUUUCUGAAGCUCCUUGGGUUUUUGGCAUUGUCUCGACUUGGUGUGUAUAUACCUUUGGGUGGAGUGAACCAAGCAGCUUUUGCUGGUAAUCUUGACCAGAACAGUCUGCUGGGCACUUUAGAUUCUUUUUCUGGUGGAGGUAUUGGCCGGCUUGGUAUAUGCUCCCUCGGCAUUGUUCCGUUCAUCAAUGCACAGAUUGUGUUUCAGCUCCUUACUCAGCUUUACCCGAAAUUGCAAGAGCUUCAGAAAAAAGAAGGGGAGGCAGGUAGAAAAAAGAUUCUUCAGUACACAAGAUAUGCAUCUGUUGGUUUUGCAAUUGCCCAGGCUAUCGGGCAAGUUCUUUUUCUUCGUCCUUAUGUUAAUGACUUCAGCACAGAAUGGGUGCUAACAUCUGUGACUCUAUUGACGCUUGGAUCGGUGUUCACAACUUUCCUUGGUGAAACAAUAUCUGAGUUGAAACUCGGGAAUGGAACAUCUCUCCUUAUUUUUACAAGUAUAAUUUCGUAUUUGCCUGCAUCAUUUGGAAGGACAGUUGCAGAGGGAUUUCAAGCAGGCAAUUAUGUUGGACUUCUCACAAUCAUAUUGUCAUUCUUUUUCUUAGUUCUUGGGAUUGUCUAUGUCCAGGAAGCUGAGAGAAAAAUACCACUGAACUAUGCUUCUCGAUACGGCAGUCGAACUGGAGGACCCCAACGUUCUGCAUAUCUACCUUUUAAGGUCAAUAGUUCUGGUGUCAUGCCUAUCAUAUUCUCUACAUCUUCAUUGGCUUUACCUGCUACUUUGGCACGUUUCACUGGCUUAGAUUUUCUUAAAAAGGCUGCCAUAGCCCUAACUCCAGGAGGUUCUUUUUAUCUUCCAACUAAUGUAUUGCUUAUAGCCUUUUUCAAUUACUAUUACACUUUCCUUCAAUUGGAUCCUGAUGAUCUUAGUGAGCAAUUGAAGCGAACAGGUGCGUCAAUACCGCUUGUGCGGCCAGGAAAAAAUACAGCUGCCUUUAUUAAAACAGUUCUUAGUCGUAUCUCUGUCCUAGGAUCUGCCUUUCUCGCUGUACUAGCUGCUGGACCAUCUGUGGUUGAACAAGUCUCUCACUUGACAGCAUUUCGGGGAUUCGCUGGUACAUCAGUGCUUAUCCUUGUCGGAUGUGCAACCGACACGGCUCGGAAAGUUCAGACAGAAAUAAUUUCUCAGAAAUAUAAGGACAUCGAGUUCUAUGAUGUCAAUAGUUCUGACAAAUGA